This 482-nucleotide ribosomal RNA is filed under the name uncultured bacterium. RNAcentral describes it as "partial 16S ribosomal RNA". It matches the Rfam family "Bacterial small subunit ribosomal RNA", at positions 30 to 507 of the family's 1533-position model. The record is from RNAcentral.
AUUGAACGCUGGCGGCAUGCUUUACACAUGCAAGUCGAACGGUAACAGGCCGCAAGGUGCUGACGAGUGGCGAACGGGUGAGUAAUGCAUCGGAACGUGCCCAGUCGUGGGGGAUAACUACUCGAAAGAGUAGCUAAUACCGCAUACGAUCUAUGGAUGAAAGCGGGGGACCGUAAGGCCUCGCGCGAUUGGAGCGGCCGAUGUCAGAUUAGGUAGUUGGUGGGGUAAAGGCUCACCAAGCCAACGAUCUGUAGCUGGUCUGAGAGGACAACCAGCCACACUGGGACUGAGACACGGCCCAGACUCCUACGGGAGGCAGCGGUGGGGAAUUUUGGACAAUGGGCGCAAGCCUGAUCCAGCAAUGCCGCGUGCAGGAAGAAGGCCUUCGGGUUGUAAACUGCUUUUGUACGGAACGAAACGGCUCUGGUUAAUACCCGGGGCUAAUGACGGUACCGGAAGAAUAAGCACCGGCUAACUACGUG